This 484-nucleotide ribosomal RNA is filed under the name uncultured bacterium. RNAcentral describes it as "partial 16S ribosomal RNA". It matches the Rfam family "Bacterial small subunit ribosomal RNA", at positions 30 to 507 of the family's 1533-position model. The record is from RNAcentral.
AUUGAACGCUAGCGGGAUGCUUUACACAUGCAAGUCGAACGGCAGCGCGGACUUCGGUCUGGCGGCGAGUGGCGAACGGGUGAGUAAUGUAUCGGAACGUGCCCAGUAGCGGGGGAUAACUACGCGAAAGCGUAGCUAAUACCGCAUACGCCCUACGGGGGAAAGCAGGGGAUCGUAAGACCUUGCACUAUUGGAGCGGCCGAUAUCGGAUUAGCUAGUUGGUGAGGUAACGGCUCACCAAGGCGACGAUCCGUAGCUGGUUUGAGAGGACGACCAGCCACACUGGGACUGAGACACGGCCCAGACUCCUACGGGAGGCAGCAGUGGGGAAUUUUGGACAAUGGGGGCAAGCCUGAUCCAGCCAUCCCGCGUGUGCGAUGAAGGCCUUCGGGUUGUAAAGCACUUUUGGCAGGAAAGAAACGUCGCGGGCUAAUACCCCGUGGAACUGACGGUACCUGCAGAAUAAGCACCGGCUAACUACGUG